GUAGGGUGCGAGCGUUAAUCGGAAUUACUGGGCGUAAAGCGAGCGCAGACGGUUACUUAAGCAGGAUGUGAAAUCCCCGGGCUCAACCUGGGAACUGCGUUCUGAACUGGGUGACUAGAGUGUGUCAGAGGGAGGUAGAAUUCCACGUGUAGCAGUGAAAUGCGUAGAGAUGUGGAGGAAUACCGAUGGCGAAGGCAGCCUCCUGGGAUAACACUGACGUUCAUGCUCGAAAGCGUGGGUAGCAAACAGGAUUAGAUACCCUGGUAGUCCACGCCCUAAACGAUGUCAAUUAGCUGUUGGGCAACUUGAUUGCUUAGUAGCGUAGCUAACGCGUGAAAUUGACCGCCUGGGGAGUACGGUCGCAAGAU
RNAcentral lists this ribosomal RNA (368 nucleotides) under uncultured Neisseria sp. RNAcentral describes it as "bacterial SSU rRNA". It matches the Rfam family "Bacterial small subunit ribosomal RNA", at positions 527 to 894 of the family's 1533-position model. Lineage: Bacteria; Pseudomonadati; Pseudomonadota; Betaproteobacteria; Neisseriales; Neisseriaceae. The record is from RNAcentral.